Molecule: ribosomal RNA, 555 nt
Filed under: uncultured bacterium
Lineage: Bacteria
Description: partial 16S ribosomal RNA
Rfam family: Bacterial small subunit ribosomal RNA
Source: RNAcentral
UAGGGAAUCUUCCACAAUGGACGCAAGUCUGAUGGAGCAACGGCCGCGUGAGUGAAGAAGGUUUUCGGACCGUAAAGCUCUGUUGUUGGUGAAGAAGGAUAGAGGUAGUAACUGGCCUUUAUUUGACGGUAAUCAACCAGAAAGUCACGGCUAACUACGUGCCAGCAGCCGCGGUAAUACGUAGGUGGCAAGCGUUGUCCGGAUUUAUUGGGCGUAAAGCGAGCGCAGGCGGAAGAAUAAGUCUGAUGUGAAAGCCCUCGGCUUAACCGAGGAAUUGCAUCGGAAACUGUUUUCUUGAGUGCAGAAGAGGAGAGUAGAACUCCAUGUGUAGCGGUGGAAUGCGUAGAUAUAUGGAAGAAUACCAGUGGCGAAGGCGGCUCUCUGGUCUGCAACUGACGCUGAGGCUCGAAAGCAUGGGUAGCGAACAGGAUUAGAUACCCUGGUAGUCCAUGCCGUAAACGAUGAGUGCUAAGUGUUGAGAGGCUUCCGCCUCUCAGUGCUGCAGCUAACGCAUUAAGCACUCCGCCUGGGGGAGUACGACCGCAAGGUUGAAAC